Molecule: ribosomal RNA, 797 nt
Filed under: uncultured bacterium
Lineage: Bacteria
Description: bacterial SSU rRNA
Rfam family: Bacterial small subunit ribosomal RNA
Source: RNAcentral
AGAGUUUGAUCAUGGCUCAGGAUGAACGCUAGCGGCAGGCUUAAUACAUGCAAGUCGUGGGGCAGCAGUCCCGCAGCAAUGCGGGAGCUGGCGACCGGCAAACGGGUGCGGAACACGUACACAACCUUCCUUUAAGUGGGGAAUAGCCCGGGGAAACCCGGAUUAAUACCCCGUAAUAUAAUGAAGUGGCAUCACUUUAUUAUUAUAGCUCCGGCGCUUGAAGAUGGGUGUGCGACUGAUUAGGCAGUUGGCGGGGUAACGGCCCACCAAACCUACGAUCAGUAACUGGUGUGAGAGCACGACCAGUCACACGGGCACUGAGACACGGGCCCGACUCCUACGGGAGGCAGCAGUAAGGAAUAUUGGUCAAUGGACGCAAGUCUGAACCAGCCAUGCCGCGUGGAGGAUGAAGGUCCUCUGGAUUGUAAACUUCUUUUAUCUGGGAAGAAAUGCAUUUUUUCUAAAAUGCUUGACGGUACCAGGUGAAUAAGCACCGGCUAACUCCGUGCCAGCAGCCGCGGUAAUACGGAGGGUGCAAGCGUUAUCCGGAUUCACUGGGUUUAAAGGGUGCGUAGGUGGGUUGGUAAGUCAGUGGUGAAAUCUCCAGGCUUAACUUGGAAACUGCCAUUGAUACUAUCAAUCUUGAAUACCGUGGAGGUCAGCGGAAUAUGUCAUGUAGCGGUGAAAUGCUUAGAGAUGACAUAGAACACCAAUUGCGAAGGCAGCUGGCUACACGAAUAUUGACACUGAUGCACGAAAGCGUGGGGAUCAAACAGGAUUAGAUACCCUAGUAGUCC